UACGGAGGGUGCAAACGUUGCUCGGAAUCAUUGGGCGUAAAGCGCACGUAGGCGGCGCGUUAAGUCGGGUGUGAAAGCCCUGGGCUCAACCCAGGAAGUGCAUUCGAAACUGGCGCGCUUGAAUAUGGAAGAGGGUCGCGGAAUUCCCGGUGUAGAGGUGAAAUUCGUAGAUAUCGGGAGGAACACCAGUGGCGAAGGCGGCGACCUGGGCCAAUAUUGACGCUGAGGUGCGAAAGCUAGGGGAGCAAACAGG
RNAcentral lists this ribosomal RNA (253 nucleotides) under uncultured bacterium. Its description in RNAcentral is "partial 16S ribosomal RNA". It matches the Rfam family "Bacterial small subunit ribosomal RNA", at positions 524 to 776 of the family's 1533-position model. The record is from RNAcentral.